Molecule: non-coding RNA, 32 nt
Filed under: Homo sapiens (human)
Lineage: Eukaryota; Metazoa; Chordata; Mammalia; Primates; Hominidae
Source: RNAcentral
UGUCAUGCGGCCGGAGCAGAUCAUGAAGUCCA